Molecule: ribosomal RNA, 379 nt
Filed under: uncultured eukaryote
Lineage: Eukaryota
Description: partial 18S ribosomal RNA
Rfam family: Eukaryotic small subunit ribosomal RNA
Source: RNAcentral
CAAUAGCGUAUAUUAAAGUUGUUGCGGUAAAAAAGCUCGUAGUUGGAUUUCUGUCGAGAGCGACCGGUCCAUACCAUGUAUGCGUAUCUGGCUUGCUCUCGGCAUCCUCUCGAUAGACGUUACUGCGCUUGAUUGCGUGGUGCGGAUCUCGGGACUUUUACUUUGAGGAAAUUAGAGUGUUCACGGCAGGCUUUCGCCAGAAUACAUUAGCAUGGAAUAAUACUAUAGGAUCUUGGUUCUAUUUUGUUGGUUUCUAGAAUUGAGAUAAUGAUUAAUAGGGACAAUUGGGGGCAUUCGUAUCAACACGUCAGAGGUGGAAUUCUUGGAUUGUGUUGCGACGAACUACUGCGAAAGCAUUUGCCAAGGAUGUUUUCAUUGA